This is a non-coding RNA of Ixodes scapularis (black-legged tick), 82 nucleotides long. The record is from Rfam. NCBI's taxonomy places the organism in Eukaryota, Metazoa, Arthropoda, Arachnida, Ixodida, Ixodidae.
GCAGUCGUGGCCGAGUAGUUAAGGCGAUGGACUAGAAAUUCGUUGGGGUCUCCCCGCACAGGUUCGAAUCUUGUCAACUGCG